GCCGGUGUGGCGCAGCGGGUAGCGCGGCUGACUUGUAAUCAGCAGGUUGUGGGUUCGAGCCCCUCCGCCGGCU
RNAcentral lists this transfer RNA (73 nucleotides) under Clostridium sp. AF50-3. RNAcentral describes it as "tRNA-Thr". It matches the Rfam family "tRNA". From Rfam's summary of the family: Transfer RNA (tRNA) molecules are approximately 80 nucleotides in length. Their secondary structure includes four short double-helical elements and three loops (D, anti-codon, and T loops). Lineage: Bacteria; Bacillati; Bacillota; Clostridia; Eubacteriales; Clostridiaceae. The record is from RNAcentral.